RNAcentral lists this ribosomal RNA (249 nucleotides) under Botrytis cinerea. Its description in RNAcentral is "partial large subunit ribosomal RNA". It matches the Rfam family "Eukaryotic large subunit ribosomal RNA", at positions 398 to 664 of the family's 3401-position model. Lineage: Eukaryota; Fungi; Ascomycota; Leotiomycetes; Helotiales; Sclerotiniaceae. The record is from RNAcentral.
CGUGAAAUUGUUGAAAGGGAAGCGCUUGCAAUCAGACUUGCACUUGGUGUUCAUCAGGGUCUCGUACCCUGUGUACUUCAUCAAGUUCAGGCCAGCAUCAGUUUGAGUGGUUAGAUAAAGGCUUAGAGAAUGUGGCCCUCUUCGGGGGGUGUUAUAGCUCUAGGUGCAAUGUAGCCUACUUGGACUGAGGAACGCGCUUCGGAUAGGAUGCUGGCGUAAUGGUUGUAAGCGACCCGUCUUGAAACACGG